GGGCCCCGGGCCGAGCCGGGGGUGGGGGCUUGGGGAGGCCGUGCGCCCGCGGCCGUGGGCGAGCGUCCGUGCGGCCUGGUCCGGGCAAUGUCCGCGUGAGGACGCCGCCGCCGCCGCCGCCGCUGCCCCAGCCUCGGCCCGGCCCGCCGCCCACCAUGGGCUCCAUCCUGAGCCGCCGCAUCGCGGGCGUGGAGGACAUCGAUAUCCAAGCGAACUCGGCCUAUCGCUACCCCCCAAAGUCCGGAAACUACUUCGCAUCGCACUUUUUCAUGGGAGGUGAGAAAUUCGACACCCCUCACCCUGAAGGUUACCUCUUUGGAGAGAACAUGGACCUGAACUUCCUGGGCAAUCGCCCGGUCCAGUUCCCUUACGUCACACCUGCGCCCCACGAGCCCGUGAAGACGCUGAGGAGCCUGGUGAACAUCCGCAAAGACUCCCUCCGGCUUGUGAGGUAUAAGGAUGGUGCUGACAGCCCCACUGAGGACGGCGAGAAGCCCCGCGUCCUCUACAGCCUGGAGUUCACCUUCGACGCUGACGCCCGGGUGGCCAUCACCGUCUACUGCCAGGCGGUGGAGGAGUUCAUGAACGGGACUGCUGCGUACAGCCCCAAGAGCCCGGCCCUGCAGUCGGAGACCGUCCACUACAAGCGCGGUGUGAGCCAGCAGUUCUCGCUGCCCUCCUUCAAGAUCGACUUUUCGGAGUGGAAGGACGACGAGCUGAACUUUGACCUGGACCGGGGCGUGUUUCCAGUGGUCAUCCAGGCCGUGGUGGAUGAGGGGGACGUCGUGGAAGUGACCGGCCAUGCCCACGUGCUCUUGGCCGCCUUUGAAAAGCAUGUGGACGGCAGCUUCUCCGUGAAGCCUUUAAAGCAGAAGCAAAUCGUGGACCGGGUUAGCUACUUGCUGCAGGAGAUCUACGGCAUCGAGAACAAGAACAACCAGGAGACCAAGCCCUCAGACGAGGAGAACAGCGACAACAGCAACGAGUGCGUGGUGUGCCUGUCUGACCUGCGGGACACGCUGAUCCUGCCCUGCCGCCACCUCUGCCUCUGCAACUCCUGUGCGGACACGCUGCGCUACCAGGCCAGCAACUGCCCCAUCUGCCGGCUGCCGUUCCGGGCUCUUCUGCAGAUCCGGGCGGUGCGCAAGAAGCCGGGGGCCCUGUCCCCCAUUUCCUUCAGCCCCGUUUUGGCCCAGAGCAUGGACCACGACGAGCAUUCUGAGCACUUUCCACGAAGCACCAGAGCCCACUGUCCCUUUAAAAAAUCAAAGUCGCACCCCGCCUCACUGGCCAGCAAGAAACCUAAAGGGGAAACAAGCGCCGACAGCAUCCCGCCCGGCUACGAGCCCGUCUCCUUGCUUGAGGCACUCAACGGCCUUCGGGCGGUGCCCCCUGCCAUCCCCCCAGCCGUCCCCACGGCUCCCCUCUAUGAGGAGAUCACCUACUCGGGCGUCUCAGAUGGCCUGUCGCAGGCCAGCUGUCCACUUGCCGGGAUCGAUCGGAUGGUGGAAAGUAGCCUGCAGAAGGGCAAGCCCCGGAACAAGUCCCCCGACAGCACCCUCCGGUCCCCGUCGUCCCCCAUCCACGAGGAGGAUGACUCAGAGGCUCUGCCCGCGCUGGGUGGGGCGGGGCUGGCGCUGAGCAGCUCCCCCGAGAGCUUCAUGACGGAGACAGUGGAUGAGACUUCGUCGCUGAAGCAAGGGAGCCGCGUGCCAUCCAUCGAGAAUGUCCUGCAGGACGGCAGCCCCGAGCCCUGCGGCCGCAGCCAGCCUAGUGCACCUGCCGACGUCUACCUGCCAGCCCUGGGGCCCGGCUCCUGCUCCGCUGGUUUAGAGGAGUAAGCCGACCUCUCCUAUCUUCCUUGGUCGCUUUUUGUGACAACGCUUAGCUUCAACUGAAAUAGGACCUGGCACUUUUAUGACGUUGGCCCCAGCCUCACCCUUGGAAGAUAGUGUUGCCACUUGGGAUGGUCCACCUCCAUGGAGACUCCCCGCAGCCUCCACAUCGCUGGGCACCCCCGGCCCCCACUUGGCGGCCCCAGCCCCGACCCCAGGGCCGCUGAGCUGACCCCGCUCUGAGAGCCUGGCCCAGCUGGCAGCACGGAGCCCCCACCUCCGCCGAGAUCCCAGCACGACCCUGGACCCUCCAGUCUGCACAGCGGUGUGGUCUCCGGCUCCAAGGGGCCAUGUGACCCUCCAUCCGAGAGGACAGCUGGCCGUCGCCUCCGCCCACCCCUUUUUCUGUGGUCGACGUGUUUGCUGAUGGUACACGAUGAAGGACGGCGGCUUUCUGCCCGGGGCGCCGAGCUCUGGGGUGCCCCCCGCACACCCCGGGAGGCUGGUCGCCCACGAGAAUCCUGGAUGGGCCUCCACAGCCCCCAAGCUCGUGGGGCCCGUUGGCACCAGUGAACGCAGCAGAGCGGAGAAUUCAGCUGUGAACCAAGUGCAGCCUCGACAGUAAACGACGCAGGACUCUGGGAGGGCAGGAGGCGGGGUCCGAGUCUCAGCCAAUGAAGGAAACAGUGCCUGUGCCCCACUGUGCGUGUGGCCGCCCCCUCCCCACUGGCCCCGUGGGGCACCUCCCUCAGCUCGGCCGGCCGGGCAGCCGUUCUUCCCGUGGGCCCGGCCGCUGGCAGUGGUUCUGUCCGGGCCCUUCUCUGAGUCUGGCACCUUCUCAGAGGCAGCCUCGCCCACCUUACCGGACCCUCCAGGCGGGGGUUCCGCUUGCCAGUGGCACUCCUGUCCCCCUGGGGGUGUGACGGGCCUCUGGGCUCCUCUGCCCUCUCUUUGCCAUGUAGACGUGACUCACCAUCCCUCCUUGAUUCCUUCGGUUUGGGGCUCCUGGGGUGGGACCUGCCUGGGGGUUGUGGGUCCCAUUUGAGGUGACCUCGUCUUUUAAAGAUACAUUUUCUGGGCAGCAGAAAGGCCGAGGGGGCGCUUGGCCUUGGUGCCCCGGACCGGCUGCCCGUGCAGGGCCUUGAGCCUGGCGGGUGGGUCUCAGCACCCAGGAGCCGGCCCUUGGCCAGCGAGAGAGGGCCCGGCUCCCUGCAGAGCUGCCCCAGGGAGCACGGUCCCGGGGCGGCUGGCAGCCCUGCCCCAGGGCACUCAGGGUGGACGCCAUUUCUCUCCGGUCAAGCCUGUGAGCAGAGGCCACAGCCAGGGCAGCCUGCCCCAGCCCCUUGGCUCCCUGCGUGCCCUCCCCUCUCAGCCACCAUGUGCUUCUGGGUGCACACGUGGCAAUGCACACACGCACACCUGCACACACAGGCGGGGAGGCCGUGUCCCACUGCUCACUCUGCGCGGUCAGCACCCCAACCUCUCACCACCUGUGUUGGUGUCAGUGAUUCUGCAGGACAGGGUGCAGACUGGCCUGUCUUGGACUCACAUGUGCUGUCAUUUGACUUACUCUGAUUGGCUAGUUUUUGUUCGUUUUUACUGUAUAUUUAUAGUAAUAAAACCACGCAGCAGUA
This is an RNA transcript of Bubalus bubalis (water buffalo), 3469 nucleotides long. It is a transcript of the gene named mahogunin ring finger 1, with no coding region annotated. Lineage: Eukaryota; Metazoa; Chordata; Mammalia; Artiodactyla; Bovidae. The record is from RefSeq and is a predicted model, not a curated record. The transcript has 20 exons.